This 632-nucleotide long non-coding RNA is filed under the name Anas platyrhynchos platyrhynchos (common mallard). RNAcentral's name for it is "lncRNA (ENSAPLG00000029068.1)". The record is from RNAcentral. Lineage: Eukaryota; Metazoa; Chordata; Aves; Anseriformes; Anatidae.
GCGCUGAUGUGCGCCUGCGAGCACGGCCGCGUGGAGACGGUGAAGCUGCUGCUGGCUCAGCCCGCCUGCAACAUCUCCAUCGUGGACAGCGAUGGUAACAACGCCGUCGCCAUCGCGCUGGAGGCCGGCCACAGCAACAUCGCCGUGCUGCUCUAUGCCCACCUGAAUGGGACAAAGGCGCAGCCACACCAGGGGACAUCAACAGUGGGCACCAAGAGCCCCGGGAACCCAAAGAAACCAAAUUAGAAUGAGCUUUGGAUCCAGCCGUGUGCCAGCUGGCCAUCAGUGCUGGGCUGUAAUUUACACCCCCCCUCCUGCUGCUCCUUCGUGUGCCGAAUUGCUCCCCGAGGCUGAAGAUGUUUUCAUCCUCCUGGCGAUAGAGCAGGCGCUGUCCCUGGGCCUCGCUCGCCCUGCCUGCUGCAGGAAGCGCCCCACGGUGCCCACCUCGCUCCCAGGGACAGAGGAGCCAAGCAUCAAGUGACCUCCACUGCCGGCCACCAUCACUGGAGCUGUGCCACCUUGCUGCAAGGCCCCAGCUCACCAGAACAGCAAAAAAGCAAGCCAGCAGAAACAGCAGCUGGUUUCUGCUCCUAUUGCCAGCUCCCAGCAACUGCAGGAGGGCAGCAGAGCCA